This is a small nuclear RNA of Humulus lupulus (European hop), 99 nucleotides long. The record is from RefSeq and is a predicted model, not a curated record. Lineage: Eukaryota; Viridiplantae; Streptophyta; Magnoliopsida; Rosales; Cannabaceae.
GUCCCUUCAGGGAUAUUUGAUAAAAAUGGAACGAUACAGAGGAGAUUAGCAUGGAUCCCUGCGCAAGGAUGACAUGCACAAAGCAAGUUACAGAGUCUC